Molecule: ribosomal RNA, 499 nt
Filed under: uncultured bacterium
Lineage: Bacteria
Description: bacterial SSU rRNA
Rfam family: Bacterial small subunit ribosomal RNA
Source: RNAcentral
AGUUUGAUCAUGGCUCAGAUUGAACGCUGGCGGCAUGCCUUACACAUGCAAGUCGAACGGCAGCGGGCCUUCGGGGUGCCGGCGAGUGGCGAACGGGUGAGUAAUGCAUCGGAACGUGCCAUUGAGUGGGAUAACGUAGCGAAAGUUGCGCUAAUACCGCAUAUUCUGUGAGCAGGAAAGCAGGGGACCGCAAGGCCUUGCGCUCUUUGAGCGGCCGAUGUCAGAUUAGCUAGUUGGUGGGGUAAAGGCCUACCAAGGCGACGAUCUGUAGCGGGUCUGAGAGGAUGAUCCGCCACACUGGAACUGAGACACGGUCCAGACUCCUACGGGAGGCAGCAGUGGGGAAUUUUGGACAAUGGGGGCAACCCUGAUCCAGCCAUGCCGCGUGAGUGAAGAAGGCCUUCGGGUUGUAAAGCUCUUUCGGCCGGGAAGAAAUCGCAUGGGCCAAUACCCUGUGUGGAUGACGGUACCGGAACAAGAAGCACCGGCUAACUACGUG